GGGGGAGAGCUUCCUGUUCCAUCUGCUGUCUUACAUCCAGUGCCUUCCCCAUUUCUGUGAGAAAUCAAGGUGCUUUUGUAUAUAUUCAGAAAAUUUGUAAUGAUUUUUUCUCUACUGCCAUUCUGUUAAUUUUAUUUGUAUUUCUGCAGCAGUUCCUUCUGUUAAACAAUGAAAGGCAAAGCUUGUUAGCUGUUACAGCUACCUGAUUGCUCUCUCAGCUAAACGAGUGGCAGAAAUCUCCUUUUGUAUCAUGUCCAUAAGGAUCUGAAGGGUUUUUUUUCUGUGGGUCUCAGAGUAGUUAGUAAGCUUCUAUAUAAGUAUUUAAGAAUUUAAUCUUAAAUUCUGUAUGUAAGGAAAAAAUAAUAUUGAUUAAUAUUGUAACCCAGGAUUCCUGUUUUCUGGAAAUGUAGAUAGAUCCAGGGAUAAGUAAAUCAGUCUUAGCAGGACCCCACUGUGUUUCUUUUAGCCCAGCUUUUUUCUUUAUUUUGAAAACAGACAUGGGGCAUAGAAGGUAGAACUGUACCCAGAAGUGGUCACACUUCCGUAACUUUGUAAUGUGCCUAAGUUCCUCACUGCACUUCCUUCCUGCCUCCUCCUUUGUCUAGGCCCAGCAUUAAUACAGCCAGGUGAGAACUUGGUUGGGAAUUCAAGAUGUCUGAAACAGCUUUUUUCUGUGUUAGCAUCAGAGCUGGGUCAUUUUCCUAAUCUGGUUCACUGUGUAGCUGGGAAAGUGCACUGGCACAAGGAGGGAGUAGCACUGAGGUGGGAGUUAGCACGCAGGGAAUGGGAUGUGGUUGGGAUUUCUGAUUUCUUACUCAAUUGCAAGUGCAUUGCAGUUCAAAGGAAACAGGGUAGAUUAAAAUGAAAUAAGUCUUCGGCAUUCAAAUUAAUAUUUGUUGGCACCCUGUCCAUGAAACUGCAGCUCAAGAAGGUCUCUUGCCUUCAUUUCAUUCACUACUUGCUACUUGCAUUUCUUACUCAAGCUAUUUGUUUCUGUCUUUUUCUUGCAAUCAUGCAGGGGGAGUUUCUUGUUCAUGUCAGUUCUUGGAACUGCUCAUGGUAAACCCCUUCCUUCAUUGCCAUUCCCUUGCUUCCCAGGCACUUCCCUAACUUAAAAUCUUUCCUGUUUUUCAAGUAAAGUAAUUGUGAAGUACUUCUAAUGGUGUUCUGUGUGAAGGAUGAGAGAUUGGAAGAUUGUGGGGUUUUGGUGCAGUAGCAGAAGACAGGUAGUGUCCCAUAUAAACACUUUUUGUAGACUGAUUGCUGACUUGCUUUAGCUCAGCUGUGUUCUGUGACUUUCCAUGUUUAAUAGCAUUUGUUCUUGGCUUUGGAGUGUUGUUUUAACAGUUACCAUGUAAACAAUAUUUAACAGUAUUCAGUGUUUGAGUAGCUUUCUCCUUCCAUGGUAAAGGUCACUGGGAUUCCUUUAAGCUUUUCUCUUUUCUUUAAAAUGUAACAGGCAAUGUAAUUUAUAAUGUCAAAGCAGGACCAGAGUCCCACAGCCAAAGUGCCUCUUCUGGCUAUUUAACACUAGGGAAGUCUGGUGAUUUUUGGGCCAUUCCUUUAAGGUACUAGCAAGCAUUACUGUGUCCCAGAGACCUUUACAAAGCUUUGUUCCCUGCAUUAUUUUCCAGUGCUAGCUCUUUUUUUAUAUAUCAUAGGAAUGUCUUGACUUAAGACCUUUUAGGCUGUAUAUCUCUCUUAAGGCAUCAUUUCUUUUAAAUCCAUUUUUGCCUCAAGUAAUUCAUACCAGAAGGUCCUCUUCAGCCACCCUUUUCAAUGUUUAGAGUGCCUUAAAAAUUAGGUUCUCCAAUUCCAACCUGAUCUUGCAUUCCAAAAUAAAAUCCAUGCAAAUCUAAAAUAUCCUUAUGACAAAAAAAAAAAUUGUUGUAUUACUGUGAUAAUUAAAGAACUUCAGGGGAAUUCUGUAACAGUCCAGGUAAUACUGGAACUGCCCUUCUGCUGGCCUUAGCGUAAGAUACAAUGGAUACUCAAUUGUGUGAGGGCUGUUUUAGUCCUGAUUCACUCCCAGGCCUAGCAAGUUAAGAAAAAUCCUGCAUGUUGGAUUAUAUCCAGGCAAGUCAGUGUAUUCUGUCUUCGUUGCUUCUCUCUCCCUGAGCCAGUUGCCUCUAGAACAUUUGGAUAAAGUCCAGAUCUGGAAAGUGACUGUGAGAGCAAGUCUGGUGCUCUGGAUCUUGUCCAGGAAUGAAGCAGGACUCUGUGUGUUGAGCCUGUUUCUUCCCUGAGCCAGUGCCUAAUGCUCUGGACCAAUUCCAGGCAUGGGCAAGCUGCAGUUGUACAGGAGCCAGAGACAGCAACACGGCCUUGACACUCCUUCAGUGAAGGCUCGCAGUUGCGCAGUAAUGAAACCACAAAGGGCAGCUGCCUGAAAUCUCUGGGAACCUCCCCCUUUCCUCUUCAACUGCUGCUCCAUAACCUUGCCUGUCUGGUGUUUGUAUGUGCUUGCCUGACUCUUUACUCACUCUCAGCCUGGCACCCCUGGAUGCGGGAUAUCUGCAGCCAAGAGCUGGGCUUGCUGGGAUGUAAUCUAAUUGGUGUGCUGAUGAUCAGAGCAGUAUUGACUUCUGCAUCACACUUAGUUAGGGUUCCUGGAGUUUAAUUGCCAGCUAUGAACAAACAUGGGUGUUACUUUGCUCCCAGGCACACGUCUAACUCUGUAAACUGCUUUCCAUAUGCAUCACUUCUGGUGCAAGUUCUUUUCCCAGGCUCACUAGCUGGUAGGAAGGGAUUUAUCUAAGUCAUAUCUAAGUAACCUUACUAAAUAAAUAAAUAACUGUUGGGCUCACUUGUGUUACAGGAUAAGAAAGGAAGGAAUACAUUAUUUUAAGCUUCACUGUCUCUCUAUGCAGAGUAAGAAUGAGAACUGUAACUCAGAGAAAUGAAAUUUUAACUUUAUGGUUUCUCUUUUGAGCUGAGCCUCCGCCAACCUAGUAAACUCCUGAAGUUCAUUUUCUCACCUCAGAAAAUUUCUGGACAGGGAGAACAUGUGCCACACUUGGACGUUUCCACAUGUGUCUUGAAAGACAUCACAAGCUUAGUCCUUCUAUGAACUGUCUCUGUAAUGUGCAAAUUAGAUCAAAAAAGCAAAAAGAAA
Molecule: long non-coding RNA, 3115 nt
Organism: Taeniopygia guttata (zebra finch)
Lineage: Eukaryota; Metazoa; Chordata; Aves; Passeriformes; Estrildidae
Source: RefSeq, a predicted model, not a curated record